UUUAAUUGAAGAGUUUGAUCAUGGCUCAGAUUGAACGCUGGCGGCAGGCCUAACACAUGCAAGUCGAGCGGUAACAGA
Molecule: ribosomal RNA, 78 nt
Filed under: Photobacterium phosphoreum
Lineage: Bacteria; Pseudomonadati; Pseudomonadota; Gammaproteobacteria; Vibrionales; Vibrionaceae
Also listed under: 7 other names
Description: partial 16S ribosomal RNA
Rfam family: Bacterial small subunit ribosomal RNA
Source: RNAcentral